This 209-nucleotide long non-coding RNA is filed under the name Capsicum annuum. RNAcentral's name for it is "long non-coding RNA (CANN_LNC017879)". Lineage: Eukaryota; Viridiplantae; Streptophyta; Magnoliopsida; Solanales; Solanaceae. The record is from RNAcentral.
AGUUUCUUAUAACCGACGUAACUACUCCAUGUGAGCUGCAUAGAGUCCAACGUUUUGCCCUCCUAAGGAGAGAACCUCACAUUGGCAGGGGUGUUGUAAUCUUUCCAGGGAGUACAAUCUCAAUCUCAAUAUCACAAUCUCAUACUCGGCCUUUGGUCCACAAUCAUCAACAUCAAUCCUACGGUGGCACAUAGUUCUGUGGAAAUACC